This 429-nucleotide ribosomal RNA is filed under the name Pseudomonadota bacterium. RNAcentral's name for it is "Proteobacteria bacterium partial 16S ribosomal RNA". It matches the Rfam family "Bacterial small subunit ribosomal RNA", at positions 355 to 776 of the family's 1533-position model. The record is from RNAcentral. Lineage: Bacteria; Pseudomonadati; Pseudomonadota.
UGGGGAAUAUUGGACAAUGGGCGAAAGCCUGAUCCAGCCAUGCCGCGUGUGUGAAGAAGGUCUUCGGAUUGUAAAGCACUUUAAGUUGGGAGGAAGGGCAGUAAGCGAAUACCUUGCUGUUUUGACGUUACCGACAGAAUAAGCACCGGCUAACUCUGUGCCAGCAGCCGCGGUAAUACAGAGGGUGCAAGCGUUAAUCGGAAUUACUGGGCGUAAAGCGCGCGUAGGUGGUUCGUUAAGUUGGAUGUGAAAGCCCCGGGCUCAACCUGGGAACUGCAUCGAGAAAUGGCGAGCGAGAGGAGGGCAGAGGGGGGUGGAAUUUCCUGUGUAGCGGUGAAAUGCGUAGAUAUAGGAAGGAACACCAGUGGCGAAGGCGGCCACCUGGGCUGAUACUGACGAUGAGGUGCGAAAGCGUGGGGGGCAAACAGG